This 57-nucleotide transfer RNA is filed under the name Schistocephalus solidus. It matches the Rfam family "tRNA", at positions 8 to 63 of the family's 71-position model. From Rfam's summary of the family: Transfer RNA (tRNA) molecules are approximately 80 nucleotides in length. Their secondary structure includes four short double-helical elements and three loops (D, anti-codon, and T loops). Further hydrogen bonds mediate the characteristic L-shaped molecular structure. tRNAs have two regions of fundamental functional importance: the anti-codon, which is responsible for specific mRNA codon recognition, and the 3' end, to which the tRNAs corresponding amino acid is attached (by aminoacyl-tRNA synthetases). tRNAs cope with the degeneracy of the genetic code in two manners: having more than one tRNA (with a specific anti-codon) for a particular amino acid; and 'wobble' base-pairing, i.e. permitting non-standard base-pairing at the 3rd anti-codon position. The record is from Rfam by way of RNAcentral. Lineage: Eukaryota; Metazoa; Platyhelminthes; Cestoda; Diphyllobothriidea; Diphyllobothriidae.
UGGCUCAAAGGUAGAGCGUUCGACUCAAUUUCCAAAGGUCGCGGGUUCGAAUCCCGG